Molecule: ribosomal RNA, 499 nt
Filed under: uncultured bacterium
Lineage: Bacteria
Description: partial 16S ribosomal RNA
Rfam family: Bacterial small subunit ribosomal RNA
Source: RNAcentral
GAUGAACGCUAGCUACAGGCUUAACACAUGCAAGUCGAGGGGUAGCAGGGUAGCAAUACCGCUGACGACCGGCGCACGGGUGAGUAACACGUAUCCAACCUACCCAUUACUCGGGGAUAGCCUUUCGAAAGAAAGAUUAAUACCCGAUAGUACUUUUUCGAGGCAUCUCGUAAAAAGUUAAAGAUUUAUUGGUAAUGGAUGGGGAUGCGUUCCAUUAGAUUGUUGGUGAGGUAACGGCGCACCAAGUCUUCGAUGGAUAGGGGUUCUGAGAGGAAGGUCCCCCACAUUGGUACUGAGACACGGACCAAACUCCUACGGGAGGCAGCAGUGAGGAAUAUUGGUCAAUGGGCGAGAGCCUGAACCAGCCAAGUAGCGUGAAGGAUGAAGGUCCUAUGGAUUGUAAACUUCUUUUAUAGUAGAAUAAAGUGAGCCACGUGUGGUUUUUUGUAUGUAUACUAUGAAUAAGGAUCGGCUAACUCCGUGCCAGCAGCCGCGGUAA